CUAAAAUGUUGUGAGUUGAGUACUAAAAUAAAAAGACUUCGGAAAAUCGAGUUUCAUAUAUUGAUAAUGACAUGUGGUUUGCAAGAUAAAAAUGUCGCUUUUUACUCUGCUUGUGACGUAUGCAUAUUGAAUGCAUAUCCAAGAUGGCGGAAUGCAUGCUGCUUUUGAUCAAAAUAAGUCGAUUUAUUUCGAAAACCAAGCAAGAUACGGAAUAAAUGUAAAUG
Non-coding RNA from Paramuricea clavata, 224 nucleotides. The record is from the annotation of a GenBank genome assembly. Lineage: Eukaryota; Metazoa; Cnidaria; Anthozoa; Malacalcyonacea; Plexauridae.